This 510-nucleotide ribosomal RNA is filed under the name uncultured bacterium. RNAcentral's name for it is "bacterial SSU rRNA". It matches the Rfam family "Bacterial small subunit ribosomal RNA", at positions 32 to 523 of the family's 1533-position model. The record is from RNAcentral.
AAUCAACGCUGGCGGCGUGCCUAACACAUGCAAGUCGAACGCGAAAGGGGCUUCGGCCCUGAGUAGAGUGGCAAACGGGUGAGUAACACGUGGGUGACCUGCCUCAGAGUGGGGGAUAACGUCCCGAAAGGGACGCUAAUACCGCAUAACAUCCUGCCUUUGGAAAGGCGGAGAUCAAAGCCGGGGAUCGCAAGACCUGGCGCUUGGAGAGGGGCCCGCGUCUGAUUAGCAGUUGGUAGGGUAAUGGCCUACCAAGGCGACGAUCUGUAACCGGCCUGAGAGGGCGGUCGGUCACACUGACACUGACAUACGGGUCAGACUCCUACGGGAGGCAGCAGUCGGGAAUUUUGGGCAAUGGGCGAAAGCCUGACCCAGCAACGCCGCGUGAAGGAUGAAAUCCCUCGGGAUGUAAACUUCGCAAGAAUGGGAAGAAUAAGUGUGGGCUAAUACCCUCAUGAUGACGGUACCAUUUGUAAGCUCCGGCUAACUUCGUGCCAGCCGCCGCGGUAA